CUCCACUCGAACAACCCCCCGGAGAAGUACUGGUGUCACUGCCACCUGCGAGAGUUUGCGGCUACCUCCCCAAGAGGCAGUCCCAGGGUUAUUGUGACCUAUGAUGUUUAUUCAACUACUGUUGACGGGCUGCUGUGCACAGGGAACCUAGUAGGCAAGACCCCUGCCAUCGUGCAGCUUACUGUCAGGUUGACACAGACCUUAAGAAAGAACAAAAUUUUAAAUAAAUUAAAAACGACACCUGUAAUUUGAGAAGAUGCUUGAUAUCAGAAGAGGAGAAGAGUGGAGAGGGGUGGAGUGGCAAAGGAGAGCCUCCAAACCAAAAGCCUGCGGCAGAGGCCCUAGGAGGCAAGCACUUAACCAUGUUUCAGGACUAGAAACGAAACAUGUGACAAGACCUUUAAAAACAAAUAGAAUGGGAUGGAAUAAAGUUGGAUGAGUAAGCAGGCAUCAAAUCAUUCAGAAACUUGUUGUCCAAGUUGAAGAAUUUGUUUAGUAUUGUAUAAUAAAUGCAGAGGAAGCUAUAUACACUUAUAAUUUACAUUUUUUAAAGGCCACGUUGUAGCUCAAUCGGAUAGUUUGUCUUUUGAUGGGAUGUAGUAUACAGUAUCAGGCAGAAUGAAGGAACAAGACAGCAAAGAAUGUGACUGGCCCCAUGGAAAGGAAGUUGUAUCCUAUCCUGGGGACUCUGUCCAGA
This 697-nucleotide long non-coding RNA is filed under the name Homo sapiens (human). Its description in RNAcentral is "long non-coding RNA NONHSAT195561.1". The record is from RNAcentral. Lineage: Eukaryota; Metazoa; Chordata; Mammalia; Primates; Hominidae.